GUUAUUAGGAAAAAACACGCAAUUUUUUCAUUUAAGAUACAUUUUUCUAAAAAACCGCAGAGUGGCGCUACUGUAGUAUUUGUUUGGUCGACACACCACGUUGGUUGUCGUAAGUGCUCCCUGCAGUAAGGUGGUAUUUGAGGUAAAUUUUAGAAGUGCCUAGACAAAACGUGCUGCUUGUUGUGUGCAGUGACCAUCCCAAACCCUCCGGACUCGUGUAACGCCAUUAGUUCGCCGUGUGUUUCGAGCGAUCCACCAGUGUCGUCAGUGAGUGCCCUAGUACAGCUCCCGUCCGAACUGCCUUUGUUCUGCCGAGCUGCUGCCGGCGCUGUUCUGCCGGCGCUCUCGUCAAAAGUCUGGUACUGGGGCUUCGAAUUGUAGUGUUUGGAAGACUGUUGAAGGUUGUGCUUUUGUGGAGCUGGAGUUCAUCGGCAGUUCUACAGUGCUUGCGCCAGAGAAACGUCGGUGCUUCUGUACCUGUUAGACGAAGGAGCGUUUGCCAAGUCUUGAAAGGUAGACAUCGGUGACGGUGUAUACGUUGAAAAGGGCCUGCUGAAGAGGCUGUGCCUGGAUGCUAACAACUCAGGCUUUCACUUCGCGGAGGGCCUCCUUAAAGCUCCUUUUCCAAUAGAAGACGUUGAAGGGAGGUCCUUCUUUGGGCGGCUGUCAAAUGCCUUCCACAGAAGGAUCUGUUGGAUUCCAAGAAGGUCAACACCAUAGUAGACUACACAACGCAACAUUUCAGCCUACUUCCAGGGCAGCUGGAGAACUCGUCCCCCUUACUAGCCCGGGGAUAUUAAAUGGAUGUGUUCAAGCACAAA
This is a long non-coding RNA of Dermacentor albipictus, 821 nucleotides long. RefSeq lists it as uncharacterized. NCBI's taxonomy places the organism in Eukaryota, Metazoa, Arthropoda, Arachnida, Ixodida, Ixodidae. The record is from RefSeq and is a predicted model, not a curated record.